Molecule: ribosomal RNA, 253 nt
Filed under: uncultured bacterium
Lineage: Bacteria
Description: partial 16S ribosomal RNA
Rfam family: Bacterial small subunit ribosomal RNA
Source: RNAcentral
UACAGAGGGUGCAAGCGUUAAUCGGAUUUACUGGGCGUAAAGCGCGCGUAGGUGGCCAAUUAAGUCAAAUGUGAAAUCCCCGAGCUUAACUUGGGAAUUGCAUUCGAUACUGGUUGGCUAGAGUAUGGGAGAGGAUGGUAGAAUUCCAGGUGUAGCGGUGAAAUGCGUAGAGAUCUGGAGGAAUGCCGAUGGCGAAGGCAGCCAUCUGGCCUAAUACUGACACUGAGGUGCGAAAGCAUGGGGAGCGAACAGG